RNAcentral lists this unclassified non-coding RNA (305 nucleotides) under uncultured fungus. RNAcentral describes it as "partial contains small subunit ribosomal RNA, internal transcribed spacer 1, and 5.8S ribosomal RNA". The stretch from base 1 to 73 matches the Rfam family "Eukaryotic small subunit ribosomal RNA", at positions 1759 to 1831 of the family's 1831-position model. The record is from RNAcentral. Lineage: Eukaryota; Fungi.
GCAAACUUGGUCAUUUAGAGGAAGUAAAAGUCGUAACAAGGUUUCCGUUGGUGAACCAGCGGAAGGAUCAUUGGUGGAAGGCCCUCUGGGCCGACCCCUUCAACCAUUGUGAACAUGAAAACCGUAUGCCCCGCGGGGCCCCCGGGCCGCCUGCUCCCAGGCGUGCCCGUGGGUCCUGCGGGAGCCCUGAACCCGAACCCCGCAGGAAAGAACAUACCUCUGAACGAACACGAAGCCCUCUGCGGCUAGUGGGAACAACUUUUGGCAAUGGAUCUCUAGGCUCUGGCAUCGAUGAAGAACGCAGC